GACGAACCGUGCGAACGUUAUUCGGAAUCACUGGGCUUAAAGGGUGCGUAGGCUGGUUGCCAAGUCUGUGGUGAAAUCCUCCGGCUUAACCGGAGAACUGCCGUGGAUACUGGCGACCUCGAGUGGGGUAGGGGCUUGCGGAACUGUGCGUGGAGCGGUGAAAUGCGUUGAUAUGCACAGGAACUCCGGUGGCGAAGGCGGCGAGCUGGACCCUAACUGACGCUGAGGCACGAAAGCCAGGGGAGCGAACGGG
This 253-nucleotide ribosomal RNA is filed under the name uncultured bacterium. RNAcentral's name for it is "partial 16S ribosomal RNA". It matches the Rfam family "Bacterial small subunit ribosomal RNA", at positions 524 to 776 of the family's 1533-position model. The record is from RNAcentral. RNAcentral also lists the same sequence under 1 other name.